Molecule: ribosomal RNA, 232 nt
Filed under: uncultured bacterium
Lineage: Bacteria
Description: partial 16S ribosomal RNA
Rfam family: Bacterial small subunit ribosomal RNA
Source: RNAcentral
UGAGCAAUCUGCCCUUCUCUUCGGAAUAAGCGCUGGAAACGACGUCUAAUGCCGAAUACGACCUCCUUUCACAUGAUCGGAGGUGGAAAGCUCCGGCGGAGAAGGAUGAGCUCGCGGCCUAUCAGCUAGUUGGUGUGGGUAACGGCCCACCAAGGCGACGACGGGUAGCCGACCUGAGAGGGUGAUCGGCCACAUUGGAACUGAGACACGGUCCAGACUCCUACGGGAGCAG